GAUAAGGUUAAGUGAAUAAGGGCGCACGGUGGAUGCCUUGGCACUAGGAGCCGAUGAAGGACGGGACUA
This 69-nucleotide ribosomal RNA is filed under the name Enterococcus faecium. RNAcentral describes it as "partial 23S ribosomal RNA". The record is from RNAcentral. Lineage: Bacteria; Bacillati; Bacillota; Bacilli; Lactobacillales; Enterococcaceae.